Molecule: ribosomal RNA, 739 nt
Filed under: uncultured bacterium
Lineage: Bacteria
Description: bacterial SSU rRNA
Rfam family: Bacterial small subunit ribosomal RNA
Source: RNAcentral
AGAGUUUGAUCCUGGCUCAGACGAACGCUGGCGGCAGGCUUAACACAUGCAAGUCGAACGCACCUUCGGGUGAGUGGCAGACGGGUGAGUAACGCGUGGGAACGUGCCCUUCAGUUCGGAAUAACCCAGGGAAACUUGGGCUAAUACCGGAUACGUGCGAGAGCAGAAAGAUUUAUCGCUGAAGGAUCGGCCCGCGUCUGAUUAGCUAGUUGGUGGGGUAAUGGCCCACCAAGGCGACGAUCAGUAGCUGGUCUGAGAGGAUGAUCAGCCACAUUGGGACUGAGACACGGCCCAAACUCCUACGGGAGGCAGCAGUGGGGAAUAUUGGACAAUGGGCGCAAGCCUGAUCCAGCCAUGCCGCGUGAGUGAUGAAGGCCUUAGGGUUGUAAAGCUCUUUCGGCGGGGACGAUAAUGACGGUACCCGCAGAAGAAGCCCCGGCUAACUUCGUGCCAGCAGCCGCGGUAAUACGAAGGGGGCUAGCGUUGUUCGGAAUCACUGGGCGUAAAGGGCGCGUAGGCGGCUUGAUAAGUCGGGGGUGAAAGCCUGUGGCUCAACCACAGAAUUGCCUUCGAUACUGUCUGGCUUGAGACCGGAAGAGGUAAGUGGAACUGCGAGUGUAGAGGUGAAAUUCGUAGAUAUUCGCAAGAACACCAGUGGCGAAGGCGGCUUACUGGUCCGGUUCUGACGCUGAGGCGCGAAAGCGUGGGGAGCAAACAGGAUUAGAUACCCUAGUAGUCC